Molecule: non-coding RNA, 1016 nt
Organism: Oryza sativa Japonica Group (Japanese rice)
Lineage: Eukaryota; Viridiplantae; Streptophyta; Magnoliopsida; Poales; Poaceae
Source: RefSeq, a predicted model, not a curated record
GUGAACUAUAUACCAACUCAGUAUUUUCCAAUGAAACCCAAAUUCACAUAUCAUUAAAGGAAAACUUAUUGUCUUCUCCAUUUUAAUAUGCAGCUAUAUUAACACAUGUCUAUAAAAGUCUAUGAAUAAAUCGUUAUGGUCAUUCAGACUGCAUUACAUAUUUGCAACAUGGAUUCAGUCUUGUUCUCCUGCCCAUGAUUUAUGAUGAGUCUGACUACUGCACAACACAGCUUACAAAAAGGGACUACCAACAUUCUUCUAAUUUAACUUCCAUUGUGAAGGAUUUUCUUAUUAAUCGUGCAGGAGUUUCCACUUCAGUGUGAAGUAGUUGUAAUUUGUCUCUGUUCUUGUCUUUUUGGCAGACUGAAUUAUCUGCUCCAAUAAUCCCAUUUAGGCUGGGCAUGCAACCGAGCCUUUCUUAGAUUUUGUUGUUGGACAUGGAGAGAUAUGGUCAACUCAAUUGUUGUCAUUUGCCAUUCAGAAGUCUGAAGCCCCUUGCAGUUGUAUGGACACACGAGAAGUUUUAGUUGUAAAUCCUACAGGUUCUAACCAAGUAGAUCCUGACUAUUUGGAAUCUGAGAAACGACUUGAGAAAUGGUUUGUUCAACGACUAGCUGAGACAAUAGGGUUUAUUACGAGUACACCUGAAAACAUUCCUACAACCUUGAAAAGAUAUAGAAGUGAUUUCUCUGCAGCUACAACCUUGAAAAGAUAUAGAAGUGAUUUCUCUGCAGCCAUAAUUAGUAAACUUGUUAAGGCUGGUAAGGUCACUAUCUGGACUGAUGUUGAUGGGGUCUUCAGUGCAGAUCCCAGAAAAGGAAAUCUUGUAUCAACUUACUGCCUUGACACUUAAUCUGGAAAUUUACUACAGUUUUUUUAUGUGUUAUGCAAUAUGAAAUGUAGAUAAAAAUGUGUGCAUGCAAUUUCAAACUCAUCAUCUUUUUUUUGUCAAGGCUUAUGCCUCCAUGAAGAAUUUAUAGUAUGUUUGUGUGACUGCUUGCUGUAGUAUUCUGAAA